RNAcentral lists this ribosomal RNA (421 nucleotides) under uncultured bacterium. RNAcentral's name for it is "bacterial SSU rRNA". It matches the Rfam family "Bacterial small subunit ribosomal RNA", at positions 495 to 917 of the family's 1533-position model. The record is from RNAcentral.
UCUCUAUGCGGUGCCAGCAGCCGCGGUAAUACGGAGGAUCCAAGCGUUAUCCGGAUUUAUUGGGUUUAAAGGGUGCGUAGGCGGCGUUGUAAGUCAGUGGUGAAAGUUUGCAGCUUAACUGUAAAAUUGCCAUUGAUACUGCAGUGCUUGAGUACAGAUGAGGUGGGCGGAAUGUGUCAUGUAGCGGUGAAAUGCAUAGAUAUGACACAGAACACCGAUUGCGAAGGCAGCUCACUAAACUGUAACUGACGCUGAGGCACGAAAGCGUGGGGAUCAAACAGGAUUAGAUACCCUGGUAGUCCACGCCCUAAACGAUGAUUACUCGAUGUUAGCGAUAUACAGUUAGCGUCAAAGCGAAAGCGUUAAAGUAAUCCACCUGGGGAGUACGCCGGCAACGGUGAAACUCAAAUGAAUUGACGGG